UACCUGUUCCCAUGUCGAACACAGAAGUCAAGCUUCUUAGCGCCGAGAGUAGUUGGGGGAUCGCUCCCUGCGAGGGUAGGACGUUGCCAU
RNAcentral lists this ribosomal RNA (90 nucleotides) under Lactiplantibacillus mudanjiangensis. Lineage: Bacteria; Bacillati; Bacillota; Bacilli; Lactobacillales; Lactobacillaceae. The record is from RNAcentral.